AUUCCGAAAGGAAUGCCUAAUACCGAAUGAAGUGUGGGGGAGGCAUCUUCCCUACAUGAAAGAUGGCCUCUAUAUAUAAGCUAUCACUGAUCGAUGGGUCUGCGUCUGAUUAGCUAGUAGGUAAGGUAACGGCUUACCUAGGCGACGAUCAGUAGCCGGUCUGAGAGGAUGAACGGCCACAUUGGGACUGAGACACGGCCCAGACUCCUACGGGAGGCAGCAGUGGGGAAUCUUCCGCAAUGGGCGCAAGCCUGACGGAGCAACGCCGCGUGAGUGAAGAAGGUCUUCGGAUCGUAAAGCUCUGUUGAAGGGGACGAAAGUACAUAAGUUGAAUUAU
RNAcentral lists this ribosomal RNA (337 nucleotides) under Selenomonas sp. oral taxon H23. Its description in RNAcentral is "bacterial SSU rRNA". It matches the Rfam family "Bacterial small subunit ribosomal RNA", at positions 148 to 467 of the family's 1533-position model. Lineage: Bacteria; Bacillati; Bacillota; Negativicutes; Selenomonadales; Selenomonadaceae. The record is from RNAcentral.